Molecule: non-coding RNA, 733 nt
Organism: Arachis ipaensis
Lineage: Eukaryota; Viridiplantae; Streptophyta; Magnoliopsida; Fabales; Fabaceae
Source: RefSeq, a predicted model, not a curated record
UUCUAAGAGCUAAAGAUGGGACUCUUCUCCAAUUGAAAUUGGUUUAAAAUCACUUGGCUCAUCAUCUCCUUCUGUUGUUCCUACAAUGGAUGGAUUGUUCUUGUACAUGCUUUCUACAUAGUUAUCUCAACUUGUUCUACAUACUUGUGUACAAAGGAUAUUGAAAGAUUGAUAGCAGUUGGGGAUAAUUUGAUCUUGGCGAUUUUUAUACAUACUUAUUUAUACAACACCACUUGAUUUUGCAGUGCGUUGUUUUCGUUGAAGGUGUCGUAGCGUGAAUUUUUCACUCUGAUCAUUGUGGUGGCACUGUGAUUUUGAAGUAUCCAACAAGAGAAUAAGUCGAACAAAAGUGCGACUGUUAGUGGUUUAUGAAUACAAGUGAACCAGAACCACUCAGAAACAAGAAACAAGCAGUUGAAGCCAUUGGUGGUAAUCCAUUUUCAGGUGUUUCCCAUGUGAAUGUUUUUCCAUGGGACACCAAUUCAGGGUUUCACUCUAUUACAUGUCAAUUUUCUGACUAGCUUUUUGGAUCUGAUCCCCGAUAGGCAAUUAAUUUGGUUGAUGAAACUCUGCUAUUAACUAGAAGUGGAAGUUUGAAUGUGGCUAGGAGGGAUACUGAGAAUCAAUGGCAUUUCUUAAUUCUCUUCUUAGAAAUUCAUUUUUGUUUAUGUUUAUAAAUUUCAUUUACACAGUCGUUGCAUAUAUAGAAAUGACAUGGUAAAUUUGGUUUGAA